RNAcentral lists this transfer RNA (72 nucleotides) under Nippostrongylus brasiliensis. It matches the Rfam family "tRNA". From Rfam's summary of the family: Transfer RNA (tRNA) molecules are approximately 80 nucleotides in length. Their secondary structure includes four short double-helical elements and three loops (D, anti-codon, and T loops). Further hydrogen bonds mediate the characteristic L-shaped molecular structure. tRNAs have two regions of fundamental functional importance: the anti-codon, which is responsible for specific mRNA codon recognition, and the 3' end, to which the tRNAs corresponding amino acid is attached (by aminoacyl-tRNA synthetases). tRNAs cope with the degeneracy of the genetic code in two manners: having more than one tRNA (with a specific anti-codon) for a particular amino acid; and 'wobble' base-pairing, i.e. permitting non-standard base-pairing at the 3rd anti-codon position. The record is from Rfam by way of RNAcentral. Lineage: Eukaryota; Metazoa; Nematoda; Chromadorea; Rhabditida; Heligmosomidae.
GUCUCAGUAGCAUAGUUGAAACUGCACAGCCCCGGAUAGGUUGAGACGCGGGUUCUAAUCCCGCCUGAGAUU